RNAcentral lists this ribosomal RNA (253 nucleotides) under uncultured bacterium. RNAcentral describes it as "partial 16S ribosomal RNA". It matches the Rfam family "Bacterial small subunit ribosomal RNA", at positions 524 to 776 of the family's 1533-position model. The record is from RNAcentral.
UACGUAGGUGGCGAGCGUUAUCCGGAUUUACUGGGCGUAAAGCGCUUGUAGGCGGCCUUGUAAGUUGGGCGUGAAAGCUCCGGGCUUAACCCGGAGAGGACGUCCAAUACUGCGAGGUUAGAGGGUGCCAGAGGAAGGUGGAAUUCCUGGUGUAGCGGUGAAAUGCGUAGAUAUCAGGAGGAACACCCGUGGCGAAGGCGGCCUUCUGGGGCAUUCCUGACGCUGAGAAGCGAAAGCUAGGGGAGCAAUCAGG